GUUUUCGCUUCGGCAGCACUUACACUAAAAUUGGAACAAUACAGAGAAGAUUGGCAUGGUCCCUGUGCAAGGAUGACACAGAUUUGUGAAGUAGUCCAUAAAAAA
Molecule: small nuclear RNA, 105 nt
Organism: Talpa occidentalis (Iberian mole)
Lineage: Eukaryota; Metazoa; Chordata; Mammalia; Eulipotyphla; Talpidae
Source: RefSeq, a predicted model, not a curated record